This 253-nucleotide ribosomal RNA is filed under the name uncultured bacterium. Its description in RNAcentral is "partial 16S ribosomal RNA". It matches the Rfam family "Bacterial small subunit ribosomal RNA", at positions 524 to 776 of the family's 1533-position model. The record is from RNAcentral.
UACAGAGGUCCCAAGCGUUGUUCGGAUUCACUGGGCGUAACGGGUGCGUAGGUGGCCAGGUAAGUCUGAUGUGAAAUCUCGGAGCUCAACUCCGAAACUGCAUUGGAUACUAUCUGGCUGGAGGGUCGGAGGGGGGACUGGAAUUCUCGGUGUAGCAGUGAAAUGCGUAGAUAUCGAGAGGAACACCAGUGGCGAAGGCGAGUCCCUGGACGACUCCUGACACUGAGGCACGAAAGCUAGGGGAGCAAACAGG